GCGAACGGGUGAGUAACACGUGAGCAAUCUGCCCCUGACUCUGGGAUAAGCGCUGGAAACGGCGUCUAAUACCGGAUACGAGCUGCGAAGGCAUCUUCAGCAGCUGGAAAGAACUUCGGUCAGGGAUGAGCUCGCGGCCUAUCAGCUAGUUGGUGAGGUAACGGCUCACCAAGGCGUCGACGGGUAGCCGGCCUGAGAGGGUGACCGGCCACACUGGGACUGAGACACGGCCCAGACUCCUACGGGAGGCAGCANUGGGGAAUAUUGCACAAUGGGCGCAAGCCUGAUGCAGCAACGCCGCGUGAGGGACGACGGCCUUCGGGUUGUAAACCUCUUUUAGCAGGGAAGAAGCGAAAGUGACGGUACCUGCAGAAAAAGCGCCGGCUAACUACGUGCCAGCAGCCGCGGUAAUACGUAGGGCGCAAGCGUUAUCCGGAAUUAUUGGGCGUAAAGAGCUCGUAGGCGGUCUGUCGCGUCUGCUGUGAAAACCCGAGGCUCAACCUCGGGCCUGCAGUGGGUACGGGCAGACUANAGUGCGGUAGGGGAGAUUGGAAUUCCUGGUGUANCGGUGGAAUGCGCAGAUAUCAGGAGGAACACCGAUGGCGAAGGCAGAUCUCUGGGCCGUAACUGACGCUGAGGAGCGAAAGGGUGGGGAGCAAACAGGCUUANAUACCCUGGUAGUCCACCCCGUAAACGUUGGGAACUANUUGUGGGGACCUUUCCACGGUUUCCGUGAC
This 737-nucleotide ribosomal RNA is filed under the name Microbacterium saccharophilum. RNAcentral describes it as "bacterial SSU rRNA". It matches the Rfam family "Bacterial small subunit ribosomal RNA", at positions 98 to 847 of the family's 1533-position model. The record is from RNAcentral. Lineage: Bacteria; Bacillati; Actinomycetota; Actinomycetes; Micrococcales; Microbacteriaceae.